Molecule: non-coding RNA, 170 nt
Filed under: Olsenella profusa
Lineage: Bacteria; Bacillati; Actinomycetota; Coriobacteriia; Coriobacteriales; Atopobiaceae
Also listed under: 1 other name
Description: Lysine sequence
Rfam family: Lysine riboswitch aptamer
About the family: Riboswitches are metabolite binding domains within certain messenger RNAs that serve as precision sensors for their corresponding targets. Allosteric rearrangement of mRNA structure is mediated by ligand binding, and this results in modulation of gene expression. This family includes riboswitches that sense lysine in a number of genes involved in lysine metabolism, including lysC.
Source: RNAcentral
UCAAGCGAUAGAGGUGCGGAACGGAUGACGCAUGGGCGAGCCGGCGGGCAGGGACCCCACGCAAAGGCCAAGCCGCCGAAUCGCCCUGCCGGGUACGGUGGGGCGGUGGGUCCGCGGGGAACACCCACGGGACUGUCUGCAGGGAACUCUGCGGUUGAGCUAUCCCCGCG